AACAGUGCAUAACUAAUGAAAGAAAGACAUUAAAACCUGAUGUUCUUACAGGUGAGAUCUCCAGUUUAUCUUCAGCGUUUUCAUCAGUCUUGUCUCCUUGUUCUGUCACUUAAUUCUCUCUCAUCCUAGACUGGACACCUCCAUUUGAAAUUUUGUGUUCCCCCAAACAUUGUAGAAAAGGGCCCUGGGCACACCUGUCUGUAGGAACCGUGAUACGGAUGGCGGCUGGGUGGACAGCCUAGGCUGUCUCUUCCCUCCCUGACAUUUAAGCAUGGCUGCCCACCUUGAUGAGGAGUCUGGUGCUGUGCAGCUCAGGGUGAAGAUGCUCUGACUGGCUGUGGUAGCCAGCGUGAAGAUCCUCUCAUGCUUUUACACG
Long non-coding RNA from Rhinopithecus roxellana (golden snub-nosed monkey), 376 nucleotides. RefSeq lists it as uncharacterized. NCBI's taxonomy places the organism in Eukaryota, Metazoa, Chordata, Mammalia, Primates, Cercopithecidae. The record is from RefSeq and is a predicted model, not a curated record. The transcript is spliced from 3 exons.